This 274-nucleotide ribosomal RNA is filed under the name uncultured bacterium. RNAcentral's name for it is "partial 16S ribosomal RNA". It matches the Rfam family "Bacterial small subunit ribosomal RNA", at positions 523 to 796 of the family's 1533-position model. The record is from RNAcentral.
AUACGGAGGGUGCAAGCGUUACUCGGAAUCACUGGGCGUAAAGCGCGCGUAGGCGGCUUAUCAAGUUAGGCGUGAAAGGCCUGGGCUCAACCCGGGAACUGCGCUUAAUACUGGUAGACUUGAGUCCGGGAGAGGGUGGCGGAAUUCCCAGUGUAGAGGUGAAAUUCGUAGAUAUUGGGAAGAACACCAGUGGCGAAGGCGGCCACCUGGCCCGGUACUGACGCUGAGGUGCGAAAGCGUGGGGAGCAAACAGGAUUAGAUACCCCGGUAGUCC